UCAAUUCUGUAGUGGAGCAAUCAGUAACCAAAUAAACAAACAAAUCACAAGACAAGUUUGCAAGACAAAUUAUUCACAUUGGCUAUGGCUUACAUAGACAAUAAGCAAAAAUUUAUCCUACUGUUAAUUUUUUCAGCACUUUUACUAUCUUCUCCUGCAGUUCUUGCUAAACGUCGCCCAAUCUCUGUAAGUUUUUUUUUUUUUUUUUUUGGGUAUUGGGUUUUGUAAAUCUUUUUCUUGUUAUUGAUGUUGCUUUAUCAUUAUUUUAAUAUUUUUUGGCUGUUCUUGAAUACAAAUACAGGAUGGAGAGAUCAGAGAGAAGAAACUCCAAUGUUAUGCAGAUAUUGAAAG
Molecule: long non-coding RNA, 351 nt
Filed under: Nicotiana tabacum (common tobacco)
Lineage: Eukaryota; Viridiplantae; Streptophyta; Magnoliopsida; Solanales; Solanaceae
Description: long non-coding RNA (NTAB_LNC011149)
Source: RNAcentral